ACUCCCUAUUUUGAGUUUGUACCAAUGUCUAGCUUUUCCCGUUAAAGAGAACAGAAAGAGCUUCCAUUUAAGGGUCUCAUCGGACAUUCCUUCUAUGCGAAGGAGGUCACAGACUCGAUAAAACUCUCUUAGGUGUGUGUAUGGGUUUUCCUCACCUUCUCCUGAGAAAGGUUGUUUUUGAACAAAUUCUAUGUAUUCGGGGUCUAUCUCAAAACUAGAUGCUAUGAUAGGCUUUGAAGAUUUUGGUGGUUCGAGAUGUGUGCCCGUAGGUCUAUGAAAUUCAUAGAUGGACAUGUUUGAAUUCAUGAUAGACCAGAGAUUAAGGAUUAGAUAAGAAGAAAGAAUAGCAGACAUGAGGCAAAGGAUAAAAGGAAAAUAUUUUUUUAUAUUUUUUUUAGAAAAUGAUUAAGCU
This 412-nucleotide long non-coding RNA is filed under the name Sorghum bicolor (sorghum). RNAcentral's name for it is "long non-coding RNA (SBIC_LNC010674)". The record is from RNAcentral. Lineage: Eukaryota; Viridiplantae; Streptophyta; Magnoliopsida; Poales; Poaceae.